This 612-nucleotide long non-coding RNA is filed under the name Gallus gallus (chicken). Its description in RNAcentral is "lncRNA (ENSGALG00010015582.1)". The record is from RNAcentral. Lineage: Eukaryota; Metazoa; Chordata; Aves; Galliformes; Phasianidae.
CCCCUUCCCCGACCUCAUUAAUGGAUCGGCAGUGGAAGGAGAGUUAUCGUGCUGGAGAUCUCUGCAUGCCUGAGGCCUUCUGAGGUGAGACAAUGAAUCCCAGAGCACAAGACCCUGUGUCAGUGAGUGAAGAAGCAGCCCGUGAUGUGUAAGCAAAGGGGCAAAGCAGCGUCUCACAGGGAAGAAAAUGAAGCUUUAGUUUUUGUUACUGAAGAAAACUGAAAGUUGCCUGAAGGACAAAAACUAGAAGCCUUGAUCCUGUGAUUCAUCCACCCACUGUGACUUUGAGAUUGGCUUUGUUCCACCUAGAUGCAACGACAGAGUCCUACUGAUUCCAUGGGAACCUUAGAAAUCAAAGAAAACUUGCUGUGGUAACCAGCAAAUUCAAUAACAGCAUCGAUUUCUCCAGCUGGACAAUUAAAGAGCAUAAAUGAGGGGUAGCUGAUUUCUGUCUCUGAAUUAAUGUAACAAACGAUCAUUGAUUUAAGUGAGAGGAAACUAUUCUCCAAAGAAAAGGGUCUUCCCUACUAAAACAUCCUACACCUUAUGUGUGCUGGUCUCCAACAUGUCUGGGUAAUGAAAGUGCUUUCACAGACAACCGGCUCACCACUG